UACGAGGGGUGCAAGCGUUAUUCGGAUUAAUUGGGCGUAAAGGGUGCGCAGACGGUUUGUUAAGUCACUUGUUAAAUUCCUCGGCCUAACUGAGGGUAUGCGAGUGAUACUGGCGAACUAGAGGGUGGAAGAGAGAAGUGGAAUUCUCGGAGUAGCGGUAAAAUGCGUAGAUCUCGAGAGGAACACCAAUGGCGAAGGCAGCUUCUUGGUCCAUUCCUGACGUUCAUGCACGAAAGCGUGGGGAGCAAACAGG
RNAcentral lists this ribosomal RNA (253 nucleotides) under uncultured bacterium. RNAcentral's name for it is "partial 16S ribosomal RNA". It matches the Rfam family "Bacterial small subunit ribosomal RNA", at positions 524 to 776 of the family's 1533-position model. The record is from RNAcentral.